GUGCUACUAUCCCAAUAGAUGAAGUUUAUUUGGCUCUUAGCUUUGUGUGCUGCAAUAGGCAAAUCUGCUGUCUGCUUUAUUCCUGAGUCUGAACAUAUCAAUGGAGAGAAUGGCUGGUACGUACCUAGAUCCGAUGGUAGCUUUUAUUGGAUAGAUAAGGCUGAAGCAGAAAUGGUGCUCAAAGCGGUAAGAAGCUUAUUGAAUGAUGAAAUACAAAAUGCUCCGGUCGACUUCUACCUGUUCACCAAGUCGAAUCCCACCGAAGGAACCAAUAUCACAGCGACUAACAAUUCCAUUAAAGAAUCCAAUUUCAAUGCCAAUAACCCAACAAGAUUUAUUAUCCACGGCUGGCGCCAGGACAGAUUAUCGGAUAUGAACAACAAGAUUCGUGACGCCUGGCUGAGCAAUGGCGAAUACAACGUGAUCGUCGUAGAAUGGGCUAGUGCACAAACAUUCUAUUAUCCUAAGCCCGUUGAGGCUGUAUCCACCGUGGGGAAGAAGGUCGCCAACAUGAUCAAUUAUCUUGCGUCCGACCAUGGAUUGAAAUUCGACACUCUGCACGUCAUCGGACAUAGCCUGGGCGCCCAUGUCGCUGGCUAUACUGGCAAGAACACCAACGGCCAGGUGCACACCAUCAUCGGUCUGGACACCGCUCUACCCCUGUUCAGCUACGACAAGUCCGAAGAGCGUCUCUCCUCCAAAGAUGCCUACUACGUAGAGUCCAUUCACACCAGCGGUGGCACGCUGGGCUUCCUCAAGCCCAUUGGUAAGACCGCCUUCUAUCCCAAUGGUGGCAAAGCCCAGCCGGGUUGCGGUAUUGAUUGGAUCAGUAUCUGCGCUCACAGACGUUCUGUGAUCUACUAUGCUGAAGCUGUCUCCCACAAAAACUUUGGCACCAUUAAGUGCGCUGACUAUGAGGCAGCCGUUAAUAAGGAGUGCGGCAGUACCUACAGCACCGUUCGCAUGAGCGCUGAUGGCAAUGCCGACGAGGUCGAGGGUGUCUUCUAUGUGCCGGUGAACAGCGAAUCUCCCCACGGCAAUGCCAACUAUGUAGUAAUGUGACGCAAUCAAUCAAAUAAUUAGACUAGGUAAUCUAGUUGGGUUUACGACGCUAAUCAUAUAACUGAACGAUACACCUUGAGGCUAUAAUCCAUACUAUAGUGUGGUAUAUACAUACAUAUAUACUUAUACGGUAACCGGUACUGCUAUCAACAUAGUAAUUCAAGCAAUUCCAUUAGAAGCAAACAAUAUAUGGACUUGUCGUUUCCCACGCAGUGCAUAAAUCAUACGACAUUGAUGUAGGCCUCCACCGAUAAAGAUUUAUGAUCAGUGAUAAUUAUUAAUUAUACUUGUGGUUCACUAAAUGACUUCUAAUUGUAUGCCCAUUGCUCCUCAUUUUUCGAGGUGACCAUAUGUGCCUCCUAAAAGUAUGCAACAUGUGUGUGUAUGUUAUUCUAAUAUUGGAUUUUGUGUACUAUUUUUGCAUGUCAUUUAAUUCAUCUACUCUGCCAAUUAGCACGAACAGGAUAAUCAGCCAUGGAAAAAUCAUUAGCAAUAAUACGAGUACAACUCAGAGAGGUAAACACAAAAAGUGAGCAGUAAAGAAGGGGGCAGUGGGUGGCUGGGGCGGAAGUCUCUAAACAAAUUGAGUCACAGUUAAUAGGCUUUUGUUGGGUCAACCGUUCAUUGUUUACAUUACUCGUUUACACUCAGCAAAUUUGCUUCAAGCCACAGACAUAGACCAUAGCUGGCCGAAACUUCUUAUCAGUCGAAAUACCUCACAAUAUAAAACCCUUUUAGCUCUUAGCUUUCUGUUCCACGUACAUGGAAUUCCGCCAACUCUUUAACAAAUGCUAUUAAUUCAUACACAGCUUCGGCUGGCAGCUUAUGUUGGAUAGAUAAACAUGCGGCAGAACGUUGGCUUCGACGAAUUGAAAACGUACUGUUCAAUGACCAAAGUUCCUAUCGAAUUCUACCUGUUCACCAAGUCCAACCCCACCAAGGGUACCAAGAUCACAGCUACGAGCAAUUCAAUCGCCUCAUCCAACUUCAGUGCCUAUGAUCCAACGAGGAUUUAUUAUUCACGGCUAGACCCAGAGUAGCUCAUCGGACUUGCAGAAGAACGAUCGGGACGCCUGGCUGAGCAAUGGUGACUACAACGGCAUCGUUGUGGACUGGGCUAAUGCAUGUUCCAUGGACUAUAUUUCCUCCGUUGUGGCUAUACCCGGCGUAAGCCAGAAGGUCGCCAACAUGGUCAACUACCUUGACUUCCAUCAUGACUUGAGUCUCGACUACCCCAAGAAAAACUUUGGAACCAUGAAGUGCGAUAGCUAUAUGGCAGCCGUCAAUAAGAAGUGUGGCAACACCUACAGCACUAUUCGAAUGGGUGAUGAAGGCAAUGCCGACAGGGUCAAGGGUGCCUUUUAUGUGCCGGUGAACAGCAAUGCUCCCCACGGCAAUAUCAACUAAAUAAGAAUAAUAAUGUGACGCAAUCAAAAAAGUUACCGAAAACAAUCGAAUUCCGCUUUGCUUAAGGAAGCAUUUUUUGUGUAAGUAACUAAUCUUUGGGUUCACGACGCUAAUCAUAUAACUCGAAAAUACACAUUGAGUUUCUAAUCCAUACUAAGCCGUACACUAUAUGGCAAGCGAUACGUCUAUCAAUUUAGUAAUUGCUCAUGGAUCUAGCACUUCCCUUGCAAAUUUAAUCGAGUUUC
This 2714-nucleotide unclassified non-coding RNA is filed under the name Drosophila mojavensis. RNAcentral's name for it is "GI23286". Lineage: Eukaryota; Metazoa; Arthropoda; Insecta; Diptera; Drosophilidae. The record is from RNAcentral.